RNAcentral lists this ribosomal RNA (440 nucleotides) under uncultured bacterium. RNAcentral's name for it is "bacterial SSU rRNA". It matches the Rfam family "Bacterial small subunit ribosomal RNA", at positions 338 to 795 of the family's 1533-position model. The record is from RNAcentral.
CCUACGGGUGGCAGCAGUGGGGAAUAUUGGACAAUGGGCGCAAGCCUGAUCCAGCCAUGCCGCGUGAGUGAUGAAGGCCUUCGGGUUGUAAAGCUCUUUCACCGGUGACGAUGAUGACGGUAGCCGGCGAAGAAGCCCCGGCUAACUCCGUGCCAGCAGCCGCGGUAAUACGGAGGGGGCGAGCGUUGUUCGGAAUUACUGGGCGUAAAGGGCGCGUAGGCGGCCUGUUGCGUCGGGUGUGAAAGCCCUGGGCUCAACCUGGGAAUGGCACUCGAAACGGGCAGGCUCGAAACCGAGAGAGGAUCGUGGAAUUCCCAGUGUAGAGGUGAAAUUCGUAGAUAUUGGGAAGAACACCAGAGGCGAAGGCGGCGAUCUGGCUCGGAUUUGACGCUGAGGCGCGACAGCGUGGGGAGCAAACAGGAUUAGAUACCCUAGUAGUC